This 335-nucleotide unclassified non-coding RNA is filed under the name soil metagenome. Its description in RNAcentral is "partial contains 5.8S ribosomal RNA, internal transcribed spacer 2, and large subunit ribosomal RNA". The stretch from base 1 to 120 matches the Rfam family "5.8S ribosomal RNA", at positions 35 to 154 of the family's 154-position model. The record is from RNAcentral.
GAUGAAGAACGUAGCGAAAUGCGAUAAGUAAUGUGAAUUGCAGAAUUCAGUGAAUCAUCGAAUCUUUGAACGCACAUUGCGCCCGCCAGUAUUCUGGCGGGCAUGCCUUUUCGAGCGUCAUUUCAACCAUCAAGCCCCCGGCUUGUGUUGGGGACCUGCGGCUGCCGCAGGCCCUGAAAACCAGUGGCGGGCUCGCUAGUCACUCCGAGCGUAGUAAUACAUCUCGCUCAGGGCGUGCUGCGGGUUCCGGCCGUUAAAAAGCCUUAUUUACCCAAGGUUGACCUCGGAUCAGGUAGGAAGACCCGCUGAACUUAAGCAUAUCAAUAAGCGGAGGA